GUUCGUAGGUGACCUGCGGAGGAUCAUUACUGAAGAAAUGGUAGCAGUUGAGCUGACUCUUAGGAGUAUGUGCUCGCUCUAUCGCUUUUUCUACUCUCCACUGUGCACCUAUUGUAGGCUAUGAUAACUUUCAAAAGUCUCUUACGAGUCGAUUGGACAGAAGGCUAUGCAUUCAUUUGCUUGCUUUCGACUUUGUAGCCUAUGUUUAUACAAACUCUUGAUAGUCUUAUGAAUGUGUAUUGUUGGUCUUUGACCGAUAAACCAUAUACAACUUUCAGCAACGGAUCUCUUGGCUCUCGCAUCGAUGAAGAACGCAGCGAAAUGCGAUAAGUAAUGUGAAUUGCAGAAUUCAGUGAAUCAUCGAAUCUUUGAACGCACCUUGCACUCCUUGGUAUUCCGAGGAGUAUGCCUGUUUGAGUGUCAUUAAAUUCUCAAAAACCUAACUGUUUGUUUGGAUGGAUAGGCUUUUUGGAUGUGAGGGCUUGCUGGCUUUCUACUAAGUCGGCUCUCUUUAAAUGCAUUAGUGGUUGCUUCAUUCACUAGAGUGUGAUAGUAUAUCUACGCUCGCUGCAGUGAACUGAUAAAUCAUCCGCUUCUAACUGUCUUGCUUUCAAGACAAUUCUUUGACUAUUUGACCUCAAAUCAGGUAGGACUACCCGCUGAACUUAAGCAUAUCAAUAAGCGGAGGA
This 689-nucleotide ribosomal RNA is filed under the name uncultured Agaricales. Its description in RNAcentral is "eukaryotic LSU rRNA". The stretch from base 270 to 423 matches the Rfam family "5.8S ribosomal RNA". Lineage: Eukaryota; Fungi; Basidiomycota; Agaricomycetes; Agaricales. The record is from RNAcentral.